GAGGAUAUAGCUCAGUGGAAGAGCAUUUGCCUAGCAUGCUCAAGGCCUGGAUUCAAUCCUCAGUACCCCCA
RNAcentral lists this transfer RNA (71 nucleotides) under Marmota marmota marmota (Alpine marmot). It matches the Rfam family "tRNA". From Rfam's summary of the family: Transfer RNA (tRNA) molecules are approximately 80 nucleotides in length. Their secondary structure includes four short double-helical elements and three loops (D, anti-codon, and T loops). The record is from Rfam by way of RNAcentral. Lineage: Eukaryota; Metazoa; Chordata; Mammalia; Rodentia; Sciuridae. RNAcentral also lists the same sequence under 1 other name.